AAGCAAGCCAAAUCCUCUCAACCCAUGACGAGUUCAUCACGGCAUGCACCAUUAAGAUACGGCCGAGGACGGCGCAGCGUGUUGGCGCUUAAAUGGUUCUAAGUCCAAGCUGUACGUCAUCAGCAAUGGCGUCCACAGCUGAAGGGAUCGGUAAGCUGGAGAUGUACGCAGCAACCUCAACCAAGUCCAUGUGUCUCCCGUGAUCGAUCCCACUUCUCCUCCGAGGGUUUCCCUCGACAACCAGUGGUGGGUGGUCUGCCAUUGAUCCAGCGGCCAUGGAGGUAGGUGCUUAGGUAGACAGCCCUGGGGUCUUUCCCAAUUACACCGUCAUCCAUGACAUCUCAUCAACCAAAGCCUUUCCGGCAGCCUAAACUCUGACGACAACCAACACGAGACGCCAUGUUUUCAGGUCAUAUACUCACGGUAGCAGUGAGGUACUGUCAUGUGUUGCUGCACUUACCCAGAAAUGGGGUUAGAGCGGGAGAAGGGGAGGGCGAGCCGUGCUGGAGAAGCAGGGCACGUGUUCGUGCCAUCGGAACGGUGGUGGCGGCAACGCGUGCCCGCCCUCUCCAGCUCGGACUCGCUCCUCCACCAUUACUGGAAAAGCUCGAGAAUGAGUUGCUGAAGGUAUCAGGGAGGGUACGUCGAGAGUUUGCUGCUUCUGUCUCCAUGGCUUACGUGGACUAUAGAGUCACUCAUGGGUGGUGGUCCCAGAAACAGCCAGUGACAGCUUGGGGGCCACGCGCAGGCGGGUAUGAGAACGGGGACGACAAGCCAAGCAGGAUCAUGGCUUGAAGGGUGCAAAUACCACCACAUUUACCUCUGCUAGAUCACCCACAAGUCUUUAAUCCCAGAUGGAUCCUUAAAGACUUGCUUAACAGCAUUUACCUCUGCUAGAUCACCCACAAGGGUGGAAGUUGCAUGAGCAUUAAUGUAAUUAACCUGUAUGAAGAACAUCUUAGUCAGAAGACAUGAUGAAAAACAUAACACCUAACUACAUUGUUCUUGCAACAAAACAUUCUGUGGCCACAACAUCUUCUAGAGUGGCAACUGGAAGGAUGCCAUUAAAACUAGCUGUUUGAUGUCUA
Musa acuminata AAA Group (dessert banana) is the source of this 1088-nucleotide long non-coding RNA. RefSeq lists it as uncharacterized. NCBI's taxonomy places the organism in Eukaryota, Viridiplantae, Streptophyta, Magnoliopsida, Zingiberales, Musaceae. The transcript has 2 exons. The record is from RefSeq and is a predicted model, not a curated record.